UCACUCCAGCGGUGCAUAUGUUAAAUUUGGUAUGAUACAGAGAAGAUUAGCAUGGCCCUGUGCAAAGAUGACACACAUAUCAUAAAGCAUUCCAAUUUGUUU
This 102-nucleotide small nuclear RNA is filed under the name Echinops telfairi (small Madagascar hedgehog). Lineage: Eukaryota; Metazoa; Chordata; Mammalia; Afrosoricida; Tenrecidae. The record is from RNAcentral.